CCUACGGGGGGCAGCAGUGAGGAAUAUUGGUCAAUGGUCGGGAGACUGAACCAGCCAAGCCGCGUGAGGGAUGAAGGUACAGAGUAUCGUAAACCUCUUUUGUCAGGGAACAAAGGCGGGGACGCGUCCCCGGAUGAGUGUACCUGACGAAAAAGCAUCGGCUAACUCCGUGCCAGCAGCCGCGGUAAUCCGGAGGAUGCGAGCGUUAUCCGGAUUUAUUGGGGUAAAGGGGUGCGCAGGCGGACUGUUAAGUCAGCGGUCAAAGCCCGGGGCUCAACCCCGGCCCGCCGUUGAAACUGGCAGGCUCGAGUUGGAGAGAAGUAUGCGGAAUGCGCGGUGUAGCGGUGAAAUGCAUAGAUAUCGCGCAGAACUCCGAUUGCGAAGGCAGCAUGCCGGCUCCACACUGACGCUGAGGCACGAAAGCGAGGGUAUCGAACAGGAUUAGAUACCCUGGUAGUC
This 459-nucleotide ribosomal RNA is filed under the name uncultured bacterium. RNAcentral describes it as "partial 16S ribosomal RNA". It matches the Rfam family "Bacterial small subunit ribosomal RNA", at positions 338 to 795 of the family's 1533-position model. The record is from RNAcentral.